This 470-nucleotide ribosomal RNA is filed under the name uncultured bacterium. RNAcentral describes it as "bacterial SSU rRNA". It matches the Rfam family "Bacterial small subunit ribosomal RNA", at positions 28 to 526 of the family's 1533-position model. The record is from RNAcentral.
GAUGAACGCUGGCGGCGUGCCUAACACAUGCAAGUCGAGCGGGAGCGAAAGCUCCAGCGGCGGACGGGUGAGUAACGCGUGGGUAACCUACCUUAUACAGGGGGAUAACGUUGAGAAAUCAACGCUAAAACCGCAUAAGCUCAAAGGAUCGCAUGAUUUUUUGAGGAAAUAUUUAUAGGUAUAAGAGGGGCCCGCGGCUGAUUAGCUAGUUGGUGAGGUAAAAGCCCACCAAGGCGACGAUCAGUAGCCGACCUGAGAGGGUGAUCGGCCACAUUGGGACUGAGACACGGCCCAAACUCCUACGGGAGGCAGCAGUGGGGAAUAUUGCGCAAUGGACGAAAGUCUGACGCAGCAACGCCGCGUGAAGGAAGAAGGUCUUCGGAUUGUAAACUUCUAUCGAUGGGGAAGAAUAAUGACGGUACCCAGGUAAGAAGCCCCGGCUAACUACGUGCCAGCCGCCGCAGUAAAAC